This 831-nucleotide ribosomal RNA is filed under the name Triticum aestivum (bread wheat). RNAcentral describes it as "partial small subunit ribosomal RNA". Lineage: Eukaryota; Viridiplantae; Streptophyta; Magnoliopsida; Poales; Poaceae. The record is from RNAcentral.
UUGGGCUUCUUUGGACCUAAGUUCCUGUGGUGUAAUCAUCAGGAUGUGGAUAGCCAUGUGAAGGUUCGCCUUGACAGAGCGGUGGCCAAUGGAGCUUUCACUCAGUUGUUUGAUGGUUGCUCUGUGGAGAAUAUCAUUACUACCACCUCGAAUCAUUAUGCCGUACUGAUCCAACUCUCACAAGAAAAUUCUUCAAGGCACUCUACGCCGGUUCAGUAGUGCUUUAAAUAUGAAGCUAUGUGGCUAAGAGCGAAGGACUAUAAGGAGACCAUGGAGCAAGCCUGGGAAGAUGGUAGAGAUGGUUCUUUGUCUUUACAAUCCACUUGGUCAAAUCUGAACCAGUUGGCGGGUUGUCUUUGGACGUGGAGCAGGGACUCCUUUGGCUGCGCGCGUAAGCAAAUCCAAAAACUAGAGCGAAGACUCAAGACAAUCCGGUCCUCUCUUGUAUCGGAGGCCAUGCUGAUCAAAGAGAAAACCAUUGAAGGUCGCGUUUGUGAGCUGUUUGAUCGGGAAGAGAUGAUGCAGCACCAGCGUUCUUGGGUGGACUGGCUUCAUGAAGGGAACAGAAACACCGUUUUUCAUGCCCGGUUUGCUGCGAGGCGUCGAGGUAAUAAAAUUUCUGCUUUAGUGCAUGAUGAUGGCUCUAUUUGUGACUCGCAGGGUGAGAUGAAAAGUAUGGUUCCAAGUUUCUAUGAUAAACUAUUCAUGUUUGAACCUUGUGCUGCGAUGGAUGAUGUUUUGGAAUCCAUUCUAUGGAAAGUAUCUCCAGAAAUGAAUGAGGAUCCGUGCAGACCGACACCAAUGAGGAGAUCAAAACAACCUUAUUUUUAG